Molecule: ribosomal RNA, 253 nt
Filed under: uncultured bacterium
Lineage: Bacteria
Description: partial 16S ribosomal RNA
Rfam family: Bacterial small subunit ribosomal RNA
Source: RNAcentral
UACGAAGGGGGCUAGCGUUGCUCGGAAUGACUGGGCGUAAAGGGCGCGUAGGCGGAUGGCACAGUCAGAUGUGAAAUUCCCGGGCUUAACCUGGGGGCUGCAUUUGAUACGUGUUGUCUUGAGUUCGGAAGAGGGUCGUGGAAUUCCCAGUGUAGAGGUGAAAUUCGUAGAUAUUGGGAAGAACACCGGUGGCGAAGGCGGCUCACUGGCUCGUAACUGACGCUCAUGCACGACAGCGUGGGGAUUAAACAGG